CCAGUGACGGCCGUGCUGUGAGAACAGAUGGAGAUGCUCAUGGGGGGUCAUGGGCAGCAGACCCUGCAGCUGAACACCCCAGCCCUGCCUCAUACACCCGCCCCUUGCACAGCCGCCCAGCUAGAAUCCAGGCUGUGAGUCGGCCUCGGUCACAGGCACCUUGCCACCAUGUGAAUAAUGAAGGAAAGUGUGGCUCUGUCGAAUGCCAAGGUUUGGAAGGGUGGGUGUGAGCUCUUUCUGGUGGGUCUGCUUGAGCAAGCACCGUGCUACCCGGCUGCCGCAGGUGCCUCCAGGUCUCUGUCUUCUCCGCUGGCCUCCUUGCCUGGUUUUGCUGAUCUGAUCAAUUACACAUUAAGACAAACAGGCCUCUCACAUCGUCAGGCCUAGAAUGUUCCCAGACCCAGCAAGCUUGGGGCCUGUUUCCAGCAAGAUACGGCUGUGCCCCUUUCAGGCUCUGUUUGCCAUUUUCAUAGUCCUGGAGGAAUGGGGGGGCUUGGGUGCCCCAGGAGCAAAACCAGAAUCCUAUCCGAAGUGUUCUUAAAAUGUUCAUUUCUCAAGAAUGCAAGAACCCUGUUGUGAUUCAGGGCCUUGGUGCUAGUCUUCCAUCCCGCAAGUCCAGGAGGAAACCUCUCACUCAGGGCCUUGGCCUUGGCCUUGGCCUUGUGCAUGCACUUUCUCCCACACGAGCAGUGUCCCGCCACAUGGCACAGCUGCCCUGGAGGAGCAGGCCUGGUGGUGAAUGCAAAUUCCAUUGCAGAGGUUCUCCUAGCAACGUGGCAACAAUAACAAACCCGCAAUAACCUUUUGUCUCGAGCCGUACGAAGCAGCGUGGCCAUUCGGCUCACCAGAACACUCACAGGAUAUUCUGCGAGGGCAGAGAGCUUUCGAGCUGAAGCAUUGAAACCGGAGCCCCCCAGUCGCUUUCCUCCUGUCUGCUCUCAUCUAUCCAGGAAGGCACCAGGUCUGUGCUCCCAGAGCAGGAGGUACCCCAAGAGAACACAGGUAUGCAUCAGCAGGAAGCUGGAUCAGAAGCAGAGGAGCUGGGACUUGAACCCUGGCACUCCAGCACGAAUAUGAGAAGACUGAGGUUUAAGUGACUUGGUCACGGUAGGAGCAGGAAGCUGUGGGGCCAGGAUCCAUAAGCAGGCAGCGGCUGCCCACCCUGUCUGCUCCGACGCCCUCCUCCAGGACACCCCCCACCCAACAGCUCAUCUCAGCAGCGCCCUCUGUUGGGCGGCCGAGGCUGGUACAGUGGCCCUGCAGCGCCUCUCCCUCCCAAACUGGAACUCCUGGAACCGGGUCUCCGCGAGCUGUCCCCUUCAUCCUCACCCGGACCGUAUUUCAAAGGUGCUUUUCUUCAAAACUGGGGUUUGAAGGAAUCAAAAGCACGGUGUAAUAGCUGGUUCUGUCAAGCACCCAAAACUCCUUUCAGAAAUCAGACCGUUGGCAUUCCCUGAAGUGGAAACACAACCCUGUACCAAACACAUCAAAGACCCACCAGGUGUCCCGUGGCCCAUCCACCCUCUUCAGAGACGCUCUGUCCACAGAUCCAGCGUAUCGUCAACGAUUUCACGUCUGUGCAGUUUGUCAUCAGCCUCCGGGUCUUCUUGAAAUUUCCACAGUUUCAUUUAAUGGUCAACGCACUGGCUUGGGGGUGAGGGGGAGGUCAUUUGGCCUGAUGUCAGGGUCAGCUGUUGAGACUGAAGGUGUUUCAGCCUUUGCAAUGGUGAGAAGAGUGCAAGCUGAGCCUUCCAAUCAGCUGCGAAACUAUCAACGCUUCCUGGGUGUGGGUGUGUGGCGCUGAUAUGCAGUGGGAUGUAUUUUUCAUUAAAUACAAACAGAGUGCAAGCACAACUUUACUGUUUUCAGGAGUGUCCAUAAUUUCAAAAUUAAUCAUCUUCUUUCUUAUGCAUCUGGGUGAAUUUUGACUUUAUAACAGGCAUAAUGAUUCAACUACAGAGAAUAAAAACUAGCAAAAAAAAAAGCAGGAGGUGCCAAUAAAAGCAAAAAGAGAGAAAAAAGUUUCAGAGGAAUGAGGCUUUGCCAAACGAUAUACAACAGAGUUCCCUCAAAUUCAUUCUGAAAUGCCUCGUUUGGAGUUUAUUUGUGCUGGUUUCAUAGCCUGAAUCAAACCACAGAGGUUUCAUGUGUAAAGUAAGCACCGGUUUUAAAAUUCAUCUUUGGGUUAGGAGAGCAUCUCUUCUUAUUCCCAUUGUCUUGUCUCUUUCCAAAGCAAGAAAUUUAAUUUUUUUAUGUGACUGGAAUAGUCACAUGUCACAAUACAGUAGGACCUAAAACUCCAACAACUUUGGCUUAACUUUGCAAUUUUCUAAAUCCACCGUGAAAAGUAAAAGAAAGCUGGAUAAAUUAAAAUAUCUAAUAUUUUCCAACUGUUUUGUUUCUUCUCCUUUGCUGUAAAUUAUACAUGUUUACAAGAAGGAGUACAACUGCCUUUCCUCCUGUUGCUUGAAUCCCUUUGUCUACAGAAAGUGGAGCAUGCUCAUCCAUUAUUUAAGUUGCUGUUUCUAUAACUGAAUUAAUGUAUACAUCUACACAAGCAAAUGGGCUGCUGGAGUCCGUGUCCACACACACACACACACACACACACUUUGGUUUCAA
Molecule: long non-coding RNA, 2619 nt
Organism: Oryctolagus cuniculus (rabbit)
Lineage: Eukaryota; Metazoa; Chordata; Mammalia; Lagomorpha; Leporidae
Source: RefSeq, a predicted model, not a curated record